This 503-nucleotide ribosomal RNA is filed under the name uncultured bacterium. RNAcentral describes it as "partial 16S ribosomal RNA". It matches the Rfam family "Bacterial small subunit ribosomal RNA", at positions 30 to 523 of the family's 1533-position model. The record is from RNAcentral.
AUUGAACGCUGGCGGCAGGCUUAACACAUGCAAGUCGAGCGGGGUGAUGGUGCUUGCACUAUCACUUAGCGGCGGACGGGUGAGUAAUGCUUAGGAAUCUGCCUAUUAGUGGGGGACAACAUCUCGAAAGGGAUGCUAAUACCGCAUACGUCCUACGGGAGAAAGCAGGGGAUCACUUGUGACCUUGCGCUAAUAGAUGAGCCUAAGUCGGAUUAGCUAGUUGGUGGGGUAAAGGCCUACCAAGGCGACGAUCUGUAGCGGGUCUGAGAGGAGGAUCCGCCACACUGGGACUGGGACACGGCCCAGACGCCUACGGGAGGCAGCAGUGGGGAAUAUUGGACAAUGGGGGGAACCCUGGUCCAGCCAUGCCGCGUGUGUGAAGAAGGCCUUAUGGUUGUAAAGCACUUUAAGCGAGGAGGAGGCUCUUUUGGUUAAUACCCAAGAUGAGUGGACGUUACUCGCAGAAUAAGCACCGGCUAACUCUGUGCCAGCCGCCGCCGUAA